AUUGCACGCUUGCGGCAGGCCUAACACAUGCAAGUCGAGCGAGCGGCGGACGGGUGAGUAAUGCCUGGGAAUUGCCCAGUCGAGGGGGAUAACAGUUGGAAACGACUGCUCAUACCGCAUACGAUUGGAUUGCCCAGGUGGGAUUAGCUAGUUGGUGAGGGAAUGGCUCACCAAUGCGACGAUCCCUAACUGGUCUGUGAGGAUGAGCAGCCACACUGUAAAUGAGACAGGGUCAAGACUUCGACGGGAGGCAGCAGUGGGGAAUAUUGCACAAGGGGGGAAACCCUGAGGCAGCCAGGCCGCGUGUGUGAAGAAGGCCUUCGGGUUGUAAAGCACUGUCAGCGAGGAGGCGUUACUCGCAGAAGAAGCACCGGCUAACUCCGUGCCAGCCGCCGCGGUAAUUC
RNAcentral lists this ribosomal RNA (404 nucleotides) under uncultured bacterium. RNAcentral's name for it is "partial 16S ribosomal RNA". It matches the Rfam family "Bacterial small subunit ribosomal RNA", at positions 30 to 526 of the family's 1533-position model. The record is from RNAcentral.